CGACAGUGCGAUAGGGGGAUCCCAAGUGCACAGGCAUAGCGCCUGUGCUUUUCGGUACCCUAAGGCGGUACCAGAAUAAGGGCUGGGCAAGACCGGUGCCAGCCGCCGCGGUAAUACCGGCAGCCCAAGUGAUGGCCGAUCUUAUUGGGCCUAAAGCGUCCGUAGCUGGCCGCGCAAGUCCAUCGGGAAAUCCACCUGCUCAACAGGUGGGCGCCCGGUAGAAACUGCGUGGCUUGGGACCGGAAGGCGCGACGGGUACGUCCGGGGUAGGAGUGAAAUCCCGUAAUCCUGGACGGACCGCCGAUGGCGAAAGCACGUCGCGAGAACGGAUCCGACAGUGAGGGACGAAAGCCAGGGUCUCGAACCGGAUUAGAUACCCGGGUAGUCCUGGCCGUAAACAAUGUCUGCUAGGUGUGGCUCCCACUACGAGUGGGUGCUGUGCCGUAGGGAAGCCGCUAAGCAGACCGCCUGGCAAGUACGUCCGCAAGGAUGAAACUUAAAGGAAUUGGCGGGGGAGCACUACAACCGGAGGAGCCUGCGGUUUAAUUGGACUCAACGCCGGACAUCUCACCAGCAUCGACUGUGGUAAUGACGAUCAGGUUGAUGACCUUAUCCGAGCCUCAGAGAGGAGGUGCAUGGCCGCCGUCAGCUCGUACCGUGAGGCGUCCUGUUAAGUCAGGCAACGAGCGAGACCCGCACCCUUACUUGCCAGCAGUACCGCGAGGUAGC
Molecule: ribosomal RNA, 729 nt
Filed under: Halorubrum californiense
Lineage: Archaea; Methanobacteriati; Methanobacteriota; Halobacteria; Halobacteriales; Haloferacaceae
Description: bacterial SSU rRNA
Rfam family: Archaeal small subunit ribosomal RNA
Source: RNAcentral